AAAGACUUGACGGUGCCUCACACCAACCUAGAGGAGCCUGUCCACUAACCGAUACUCCACGAUUAACCUCACCCACUUUGGCCCCACAGUCUAUAUACCGCCGUCGCCAGCUUACCCUGUGAAGGAAAUAAAGUGAGCAAAACAGGACCCCCUAAUACGACAGGUCGAGGUGUAACUAAUAAGUGGGUAAAGGAUGGGCUACAUUUUCUACAAUAGAAUACACGGAUUAACCAUGAAACUAGAAACUUGAAGGUGGAUUUAGCAGUAUGCUGGGAAUAUAAAACCCAACAGAAACUAAAGCAAUGAGGCGCGCACACACCGCCCGUCAUCCCUG
Molecule: ribosomal RNA, 334 nt
Filed under: Lygophis meridionalis
Lineage: Eukaryota; Metazoa; Chordata; Lepidosauria; Squamata; Dipsadidae
Description: partial 12S ribosomal RNA
Rfam family: Microsporidia small subunit ribosomal RNA
Source: RNAcentral